Molecule: ribosomal RNA, 348 nt
Filed under: uncultured bacterium
Lineage: Bacteria
Description: bacterial SSU rRNA
Rfam family: Bacterial small subunit ribosomal RNA
Source: RNAcentral
AGAGUUUGAUCAUGGCUCAGGACGAACGCUGGCGGCGCGCCUAACACAUGCAAGUCGAACGAGAGAGAGGGAGCUUGCUUCCUCAAUCGAGUGGCGAACGGGUGAGUAACGCGUGAGGAACCUGCCUCAAAGAGGGGGACAACAGUUGGAAACGACUGCUAAUACCGCAUAAGCCCACGGGUCGGCAUCGACCAGAGGGAAAAGGAGCAAUCCGCUUUGAGAUGGCCUCGCGUCCGAUUAGCUAGUUGGUGAGGUAAUGGCCACCAAGGCAACGAUCGGUAGCCGGACUGAGAGGUUGAACGGCCACGACUUGGGACUGAGACACGGCCCAGACUCCUACGGGAGGCA